This 497-nucleotide ribosomal RNA is filed under the name uncultured bacterium. RNAcentral's name for it is "partial 16S ribosomal RNA". It matches the Rfam family "Bacterial small subunit ribosomal RNA", at positions 28 to 507 of the family's 1533-position model. The record is from RNAcentral.
GAUGAACGCUGGCGGCGUGCCUAAUACAUGCAAGUCGAGCGAACAGACGAGGAGCUUGCUCCUCUGACGUUAGCGGCGGACGGGUGAGUAACACGUGGAUAACCUACCUAUAAGACUGGGAUAACUUCGGGAAACCGGAGCUAAUACCGGAUAAUAUAUUGAACCGCAUGGUUCAAUAGUGAAAGACGGUUUUGCUGUCACUUAUAGAUGGAUCCGCGCCGCAUUAGCUAGUUGGUAAGGUAACGGCUUACCAAGGCAACGAUGCGUAGCCGACCUGAGAGGGUGAUCGGCCACACUGGGACUGAGACACGGUCCAGACUCCUACGGGAGGCAGCAGUAGGGAAUCUUCCGCAAUGGGCGAAAGCGUGACGGAGCAACGCCGCGUGAGUGAUGAAGGUCUUCGGAUCGUAAAACUCUGUUAUUAGGGAAGAACAAAUGUGUAAGUAACUAUGCACGUCUUGACGGUACCUAAUCAGAAAGCCACGGCUAACUACGUG